GCAUGGCUGAAUUCUGUAUUACUCUUGGAAUAGUACAUGCAGUCAGACACCAUGCUAAAUUAUUAUUUUCACACACUGACUUGACAGGAUAAGCGCCACUGAUGUGCCUCAUUCUCAUGUCAGAGUGAAUACAGGG
This is a small nucleolar RNA of Scatophagus argus, 136 nucleotides long. RefSeq annotates it as small nucleolar RNA SNORA15. The record is from RefSeq and is a predicted model, not a curated record. The transcript has a single exon. Lineage: Eukaryota; Metazoa; Chordata; Actinopteri; Scatophagidae.